This 275-nucleotide ribosomal RNA is filed under the name uncultured Eubacteriales bacterium. RNAcentral's name for it is "uncultured Clostridiales bacterium partial 16S ribosomal RNA". It matches the Rfam family "Bacterial small subunit ribosomal RNA", at positions 74 to 339 of the family's 1533-position model. The record is from RNAcentral. Lineage: Bacteria; Bacillati; Bacillota; Clostridia; Eubacteriales.
UUUCCUUCGGGACUGAUUAUUUUGUGACUGAGUGGCGGACGGGUGAGUAACGCGUGGGUAACCUGCCUUGUACAGGGGGAUAACAGUUGGAAACGGCUGCUAAUACCGCAUAAUGUAUUCUGACCGCAUGAUCGGAAUACCAAAGAUUUAUUGCUGAAAGAUGGCCUCGCGUCUGAUUAGAUAGUUGGUGAGGUAACGGCUCACCAAGUCGACGAUCGGUAGCCGGACUGAGAGGUUGAACGGCCACAUUGGGACUGAGACACGGCCCAGACUCC